Molecule: ribosomal RNA, 301 nt
Filed under: uncultured bacterium
Lineage: Bacteria
Description: partial 16S ribosomal RNA
Rfam family: Bacterial small subunit ribosomal RNA
Source: RNAcentral
CAGUCGCCACGGUAAUCCGAAGGGGGCGAGCGUUGCUCGGAAUGACUGGGCGUAAAGGGCGCGUAGGUGGUACGGACAGUCAGAUGUGAAAUUCCCGGGCUCAACCUGGGGGCUGCAUUUGAUACGUCCGAACUAGAGUGUGGAAGAGUGUCGUGGAAUUCCCAGUGUAGAGGUGAAAUUCGUAGAUAUUGGGAAGAACACCGGUGGCGAAGGCGGCGACCUGGUCCAUUACUGACGCUGAGGCGCGAAAGCGUGGGGAGCAAACAGGAUUAGAUACCCCUGUAGUCCCUGUCUCUUAUAC